RNAcentral lists this ribosomal RNA (814 nucleotides) under uncultured Clostridium sp. RNAcentral describes it as "bacterial SSU rRNA". It matches the Rfam family "Bacterial small subunit ribosomal RNA", at positions 233 to 1063 of the family's 1533-position model. Lineage: Bacteria; Bacillati; Bacillota; Clostridia; Eubacteriales; Clostridiaceae. The record is from RNAcentral.
GCGUCUGAUUAGGUAGUUGGUGAGGUAACGGCCCACCAAGCCGACGAUCAGUAGCCGACCUGAGAGGGUGACCGGCCACAUUGGGACUGAGACACGGCCCAAACUCCUACGGGAGGCAGCAGUGGGGAAUAUUGGACAAUGGGGGAAACCCUGAUCCAGCGACGCCGCGUGAGUGAAGAAGUAUUUCGGUAUGUAAAGCUCUAUCAGCAGGGAAGAAAAUGACGGUACCUGACUAAGAAGCCCCGGCUAACUACGUGCCAGCAGCCGCGGUAAUACGUAGGGGGCAAGCGUUAUCCGGAUUUACUGGGUGUAAAGGGAGCGUAGACGGCACUGCAAGUCUGGAGUGAAAGCCCGGGGCUCAACCCCGGGACUGCUUUGGAAACUGUGGCGCUAGAGUGCAGGAGAGGUAAGUGGAAUUCCUAGUGUAGCGGUGAAAUGCGUAGAUAUUAGGAGGAACACCAGUGGCGAAGGCGGCUUACUGGACUGUAACUGACGUUGAGGCUCGAAAGCGUGGGGAGCAAACAGGAUUAGAUACCCUGGUAGUCCACGCCGUAAACGGUGAAUACUAGGUGUUGGGGAGCAAAGCUCUUCGGCGCCGCCGCUAACGCAAUAAGUAUUCCACCUGGGGAGUACGUUCGCAAGAAUGAAACUCAAAAGGAAUUGACGGGGACCCGCACAAGCGGUGGAGCAUGUGGUUUAUUUCGAAGCAACGCGAAGACCCCUACCAAGUCUUGACAUCGGAAUGACCGUCUCAUAACUGAGGCUUCCCUACGGGGCAUUCCAGACAGGUGGUGCAUGGUUGUCGUCAGCCUCG